Long non-coding RNA from Suricata suricatta (meerkat), 688 nucleotides. RefSeq lists it as uncharacterized. Lineage: Eukaryota; Metazoa; Chordata; Mammalia; Carnivora; Herpestidae. The transcript has 2 exons. The record is from RefSeq and is a predicted model, not a curated record.
ACACCAGUGGGAACUGGAAGGGCCGGCCCGUGCGGGGGUCUGUACCGUAAUGCAGGCGGGCCGAGGAGGGCACCACCGACAGCUUCUCCCAGCCCUUUCCUCCGAGGCCUCGGAUGGCCGCUUUUAGCUCGGGGUGCGGCCUGAGCUCAUCCCCGAAGGCCUGUGCCACCGCCUCAAAGGUCACGUCGUCGUGAGUGGGGCCGAUGCCCCCUGCUGUGAGGACGUGGGUGAAGCGGCCAGAGAAAGAAGCGACCUCGGCAGCAAUGGCGGCCACCUCGUCAGGGACGACAGAGACCCGGCACACCCGGACCCCCAGGGAGCGCAGCGUCCGGCACAAGAAUCCCCUGGCUCCACGUGCUUACCGGGCACCUCAACUGUAUGCCUGACCGUUGUCACUUCAGCCAGUGGCACCCCCAGUCAGUGAGGCCCUUCUGCCGUCGGUUCUACUGAAAUGUCUCCCCGUCUGCUCUCUUCUCGUGGUGCCUACUGCCACCAGGCAGGUCCUUGGCACCCACCAUCCGCACAGUGCCGAGGCCCCCUGGUAGGCUCCGGCCGCCAGCCACAGCACUCUGCCCAGUGCCUCCUGACUAACCUUUCUAACGUGUUACUGUGAUUGCAUCACUCUUGGGCUCAAAGACAGUGUUGUUUCCAACCAUAUACAGAAUAAAGUUCAAAUUCCUUUGCAGAA